UUCUCAUUAAGCUCCUUUCCAUUGAUUGAUUAGGAUUUGCUGUUAAUUGAUUAGGAUUGAUUGAUUAGGAUCAGUUUUAGGAUUCACACGAGAAGAGAGAAUUCACACAGCUAGCAUCCUUGCCUUCUGUCCUCAUAGAGGUAUAUUCAGCUCUUUUGUGAGACAUUC
This is a small nucleolar RNA of Bison bison bison, 168 nucleotides long. Its record names the gene SNORA75. It matches the Rfam family "Small nucleolar RNA SNORA75". From Rfam's summary of the family: U23 belongs to the H/ACA class of snoRNAs. snoRNAs bind a number of proteins (including dyskerin, Gar1p and Nop10p in the case of the H/ACA class) to form snoRNP complexes. This class are thought to guide the sites of modification of uridines to pseudouridines by forming direct base pairing interactions with substrate RNAs. Lineage: Eukaryota; Metazoa; Chordata; Mammalia; Artiodactyla; Bovidae. The record is from Ensembl.